This 527-nucleotide ribosomal RNA is filed under the name uncultured bacterium. RNAcentral's name for it is "bacterial SSU rRNA". It matches the Rfam family "Bacterial small subunit ribosomal RNA", at positions 984 to 1509 of the family's 1533-position model. The record is from RNAcentral.
ACAUCCAGAGAAUUUAGCAGAGAUGCUUUAGUGCCUUCGGGAACUCUGAGACAGGUGCUGCAUGGCUGUCGUCAGCUCGUGUUGUGAAAUGUUGGGUUAAGUCCCGNAACGAGCGCAACCCUUUAUCCUUUGUUGCCAGCACGUAAUGGUGGGAACUCAAAGGAGACUGCCGGUGAUAAACCGGAGGAAGGUGGGGAUGACGUCAAGUCAUCAUGGCCCUUACGAGUAGGGCUACACACGUGCUACAAUGGCGUAUACAAAGAGAAGCGACCUCGCGAGAGCAAGCGGACCUCAUAAAGUGCGUCGUAGUCCGGAUUGGAGUCUGCAACUCGACUCCAUGAAGUCGGAAUCGCUAGUAAUCGUAAAUCAGAAUGUUACGGUGAAUACGCUCCCGGGCCUUGUACACACCGCCCGUCACACCAUGGGAGUGGGUUGCAAAAGAAGUAGAUAGCUUAACCUUCGGGAGGGCGUUUACCACUUUGUGAUUCAUGACUGGGGUGAAGUCGUAACAAGGUAAGCGUAGUGCU